This 214-nucleotide long non-coding RNA is filed under the name Physcomitrium patens. RNAcentral's name for it is "long non-coding RNA (PPAT_LNC000040)". Lineage: Eukaryota; Viridiplantae; Streptophyta; Bryopsida; Funariales; Funariaceae. The record is from RNAcentral.
UUGUAAUCCAAUGACUAUCUUCUAAGAAAAAUUCAUCUGUCAAUUUCCCUUCAAAGUCACUUUAAGCCUCUAAAUUGCUUCCAUGCAAAUCUCUUACUUUCUUUUUAAUUUUAGAAAUGCAUGCCAACUCAAAGUUAGGAAUAUAGCGACUCUCAAGGACUUGAUGUAUCUCCAUUUCUCCUAUAUAUGCUUAGAGAAACUUAUUGAUGUCCCU